ACCCCAGGUCAGGCGGGGAUACCCGCUGAGUUUAAGCAUAUCAAUAAGCCGGAGGAAG
Molecule: ribosomal RNA, 58 nt
Filed under: Senna uniflora
Lineage: Eukaryota; Viridiplantae; Streptophyta; Magnoliopsida; Fabales; Fabaceae
Description: partial 28S ribosomal RNA
Source: RNAcentral